Amborella trichopoda is the source of this 1934-nucleotide non-coding RNA. The record is from RefSeq and is a predicted model, not a curated record. Lineage: Eukaryota; Viridiplantae; Streptophyta; Magnoliopsida; Amborellales; Amborellaceae.
UUUGGACCGCAUAUUGUAGAAGUUGGACCGCAUGAAACAAUUUUCCGUAAAGUACAUGCACACUCUCUCCCCCUUCCCGUAAGAUACACGCUCUGCGGAUGAAGCAGGGUUGAGGAUCAUUUGCAGAAAGAAAUACGAUCUUGUCUACCACAAAAAUUCUGAAAAUCCACUGCUUAUGAAGGUGAGGAAGAGGAGAAAUAGGAGGAGGAGGAGGAGGAGGAUAAAUGGCUCCUCAAAAACCCUAUUUUUCUCAAGAGAAGGCGGAGAUGGGAGAUUUACGGCUUCAGAUUUCAUCACCCACCACCACAACCGCUUCUGCUUUGGGGAUCCAAUUUAGUAGUGGAAUAAACAAUACCAAUGGUAAUAAUGGCAAUGGUAGUAUCAACAAUGGCAAUAGUAAGGGUGGGAAGAAGAAGGGAGGAGGAGCAAGGCUAUGGAUGAGGGUAGAUAGACAUGGGAGUUCAGAGGUGGUGGAAUGGGAUAAGAACGCCAUCAUGAAGCGUGUCUCCAUACCUGCACGUGAUCUUCGGAUUCUCGGCCCCGUAUUCUCCAAUUCUUCUAACAUCUUAGCCAGAGAUAAGGCCAUGGUUGUCAAUUUGGUAUUCAUAAAGGCUAUAGUUACUGCCGAGGAAAUGUUGCUUUUGGACCCUUUAUGCCACGAAGUUCUUCCUUUUGUGGAUCAACUAAGACAACAACUUCCUCUUAAACGCCCAUAUAGGAUCCAAGAGUGUGACCAAGAGAAGGAUGAGCCCUUAACAACUGUUGGGCAUUGGCUGCCUGUUCCUGAGGCUUCUGAAGGUCUACAAUGUGAACUUCCCUUUGAGUUCCAAGUCUUGGAGAUUGCAUUGGAGGUUGUUUGUUCCUAUUUUGAUUCUAAUGUUGCUGAUCUUGAGAGGGAAGCACGUCCUGUUCUGGAUGAGUUAGCUAAGAAUGUUAGCACUAAAAAUCUGGAGCACGUUCGUAGUCUGAAAAGCAACCUUACUCGUCUACUUGCACAUGUACAAAAGCAGGUUAGGGAUGAACUGCAGCAUCUUCUUGACGACGAUGAAGAUAUGGCCCAACUAUACUUAACAAGGAAGCAUCUCCAGAACCAGCAACUCGAAGCUGCUGUUGCGGUGGUGGGUUCAAGUAGCCUCACUACAACACCUCACCUGCCUAGGCUUAAUGUGAACCUUCAGAGUAGUGCAAGCUUUGUCACCAGUGCUCAUUCUGAUGACUAUGAUGUGGAAGAUUUGGAGAUGUUGCUUGAAGCAUAUUUUAUGCAGCUUGAAGGGACCCGUAACAAAAUUCUCUCGGUGCGAGAAUAUGUUGAUGAUACAGAGGACUAUGUCAACAUCCAACUUGACAACCACAGAAAUGAACUCAUCCAGCUUCAACUGAUAUUGACCAUCGCUGCCUUUUCCAUUACCAUAGAGACUUUGAUUGCAGGUGCCUUUGGGAUGAAUAUCCCGUGCACACUAUACGAUAUUAAGGGUAUCUUUGGCCCCAUUGUUGGAGGCACUUCCUUUGCUUGUGUGUUGAUCUUCUUCUUCGUGCUAGGAUAUGCCAAAUCCAAAAAACUGCUCGGUUCAUGAUUCAUACGUGAAUAUUGCAUGGAGAGAGAGAGAGAGAGAGAGAGAGAGAGAGAGAGAGAGAGAGAGAGAUGAUAACUAUACUGGCUAUUGUGUUGCUUGGGAAUGGCCACACUGAUUGUCGUAUUAAUAAUCAGUCUCCCCUUUUAUUCCCAGUCAUGAUAAAGAUUCUGCUCAUGUUAGUGCUUGGGAACAAGCACUUAUGAAUUAUUUGUAGAUAGAGAGUUAUAUGCUAACUAUGCUUAUUGUAUUAUUGCUUUGGAGUAGGUUCUCGUCGAUUUAUUGUGUGACGAUAAUUCCUUGACCAGAGUUAUUCAAAUCUCAAAUGUUUUCUUGGCCUUUAGGGUGGCCUCAUUGUCUCUA